ACUUAAAUAGUUUAAUAAGAAUUUUAGUUUGUGGAAUUAAGGGUGUAUAAAAUUACUUUAGGUA
RNAcentral lists this transfer RNA (64 nucleotides) under Scolytinae sp. BMNH 1274712. Its description in RNAcentral is "tRNA-His". The record is from RNAcentral. Lineage: Eukaryota; Metazoa; Arthropoda; Insecta; Coleoptera; Curculionidae.